RNAcentral lists this ribosomal RNA (435 nucleotides) under Attulus avocator. RNAcentral describes it as "partial 16S ribosomal RNA". It matches the Rfam family "Bacterial large subunit ribosomal RNA", at positions 1898 to 2622 of the family's 2925-position model. The record is from RNAcentral. Lineage: Eukaryota; Metazoa; Arthropoda; Arachnida; Araneae; Salticidae.
UANGUNGUAGACUGCUCAUGAUUAUUAAAUAGCCGCAUUUGUGCUAAGGUAGCAUAAUCACUUGUCUUUUAAAUGAGGACUAGAACAAAAGAUCUAACAUUUUAAUUUAUAUCUAUAGUAUACAAUUUAAACUUACUUUAAAUGUAAAAAAGCAUUUAUAUAAAAGAAAGACGACAAGACCCUGUUGAACUUAACUUUAGUUUUACUGGGGCAGUAAAUUAAUUAAUAUUUUAACUUAAAUACUUAAAUAAAUAUCCAAUUUGUUUGAAUAAUUCAGUUACCACAGGGAUAACAGCGUAAUUAAAUUCACGAGACCUUAUCUAAAAAAUAGAUUGCGACCUCGAUGUUGAAUUAAUAACCUAAUAUAAGCAAAAGUUUAAUAAGGAAGUCUGUUCGACUUUUAAAAAGUUACAUGAUCUGAGUUCAAACCGGAGA